This 6251-nucleotide long non-coding RNA is filed under the name Pan troglodytes (chimpanzee). RNAcentral's name for it is "lincRNA". The record is from RNAcentral. Lineage: Eukaryota; Metazoa; Chordata; Mammalia; Primates; Hominidae.
AUAUGUUCUGAAAUUAAACUUGAACUUUUUUCUGUGAAUUUUGAAGAUAUGGUAUCUUAUAAUUAUUUGGUGAGCAUUUGGCAUGAAUUAUUUAGCUUCUCCCCUGUUUAUGAUUUAUUUCUCUUCUCAUCGAUUUCCAAUAGGAAAAUGUUAUGAUUCUAAAUGUCUCCUGUAGACUUCAGUAAUUGAAAAACGUCAGUUAAGAUGGAGGGAAUCUGUAAUAUAUAAUAGAGUUUAUCUUUUAGUUAUGUUCAUUUCCACUUUUUUAAUUUUUUUUUUUUUUUUAGUAAAUGUCAAAGUGUUACUCAGUGCAACAUAUUAUGCAAUAUUAUAAUCAACUAACCUCUUCAUUGAUAAUGACUUCAUAUUGAGAGGUUUUUUAAAUCUAGAAAUAUUCUUGUUUUAAAUUCCAGGUUAAAAUGUAAAGGUAUUUUUAUUUUUUUAAUUUUAAUUCUUCUCAAAGCUACUAGUACAUUAUAAAACAACAAUUUCACAUUUAGAAUUUUUAUAUGUCUAUAAAUUAGGAUUAUUUUUUAAUAUUAGCCUUAACUUUCUUUAACUUUUAUGGAAAACAACUAGUCCCAAGGGUAUUUUUACUGUUUAAUAUACAUUAUUCCUGUGAUUCAAAAUCUGAGCAGUAGAACCUGUUGAGCUACUUAACUUUCUGUCUUGGGACUAUCCAGGUGCAGUUAUAACUGGUUUCAAAGUUGUGACCUUUUCCUUGCUUGUUUCAAAAUCAUUCCUUAAAAAAUGUUCAGUAUUUUUCUUUUGUCAAAAAAUAUUUAAAAACAGGAUUUGUGGGUUGUUCUGUUUUUUAAAAUUAGUUUGAGAAACUUCCUUUGCCACUUGUUUUCUGUGAAAAUGUUGUAAGAGCUCAAAUUCCCUGGGGGUAGGGAGGACUUUUAUAAGGUUUUUUUGGUUGAAGGGUAUAAAAGGCAUUUAAAAGGUAUACAGUUACCUUUAUUUCGAUAUCCCAGUCAUUUUGACAUUAUGAUAAGCUUUCCCCACUUUAUAGGUUAUCUGAAAAUUUGGUGGGGGGCGGGUAUCUUAUUUAUACUUAAUAUAACAAAAUUAUUUUCCUAUGUGUAGUCAAUAGCACAUACGAAAAAUUAUCUCCUGUUUGUAGUUAGUAGCACAGUCAGUAGUCACCAAAAUACUGAGUUAUUUUUCAAGUAAAGGUAUGAGUAUGAAUGAGAAACAGUUUGUGGGUUGGGUAUUGUCAGUCCUUCUUUUUCAGAUAACUUUCUAAAUGGUCAUUCAAUCUGUAAUCUUAAACUUUUUUAAUGUUAUAAAUUCUUCAAAUCAGUAUUUGUAUUAAAUGCAGUGACCAGACUAUGUCACUGAUAUAAUAUCGUGAUUAGAUGUGCAGAAGACUAUGUUACAUGGAUGAUAAAUGAACUUUUAACAUAUAGAAAUUAAUAUCAGAUUAAACUAAAACAUUAAGCAAAGUUAAUACAUGCUUGCAUACAUAUAUAUAUUUAUUUAUUAAUGAUAUGUGGAGAAUCUUUGUGCUUCAUAGUCACUAGACCUAAAGUAGAAGCAGUUGUCAAGAAUGUCCAACUGCUAUUCAUCUUCGUGGCCAAAGUAAAUUUCAGAUUUUUUUUUUGUAAUGGUUUUCUUUAGUCUCUUUAUUAACCCAUCAUCAUGACAAGUCUGUCAAGUGACACAUGUGAAAAGCAGAUGUCCUUUCUUAUUCCUGGUGCUUCCUGAGGAGGCAGUGCAAUGCAGGAGAAGGAACAUUAUUAGAGAUAAAGGAAAAAACCAGAAGUGCUUUCUCCUCUCACAUUCCACUCAACACUUCUCUCACCAAAUGUGUGUGGGGAUUUCUCUCCACCAACAACCAGCAGUUCUUUACUGCAGAUUCUCCAGUGGAUACCACCCAGGUGUCCUCUAAUUCAGUUCAAUUCUGACAUUAUCUACUGGGAGAUAGUGUCAGAUCCCGCAAGUGGAGGGCUCAGUCCUACAAGACUACCUUACUUCAGAUGUCAGUCACAAGCAGUUAGCGGUUUGUGAUUCUGACCAACUGGCUAGAGGUCCCCCUCCUCAAGUGUGAUUAAUUUGCUAGAGCAGCUCACAGAAUUCAGGGAAACACUUUAUUUACAUUUACCCAUUUAUUAUAAAGGAUAUUAUGAAGAAUACAGAUGAACUGCCAGAAAGACAAGGAGCAUAGGCAAGAUACUGAGAAGGGUCACGGAGCUUCUGUGCCUUCUCCAGGUGCACCACCCUCUGGGAAUAAUCAGUUCAUGUGUUCAGCUAUCUCGAAGCUCAUUCGAACCCUGUCCUUCUGAGUUUCUGUGGAGGCUUCAUUACGUUAAGGUUCAGAAAUCAAUACCCCAAAAUAUGGGGCUUUGACAUGCUGAAUUAAAGAAGCAGCCUCAAGGCCUCUUGGCCUUCUCCAGCUCUCCUCACCCAAAUCCUGUCUCUCCCAAAGCACAAGAUGAGGCUGUUCACCAAAGUUCCCUUAUUUACCUAGAAACUGGACCUUAAAGAGGAACACAGUUGCCUGCGAUUCCAUCCCUGUAAUUUUAUUAACCAGAGAUUAAAACUUAUAUCACAGAGGAAGAGACUGAAAAUUAAACACCACACCUGGAGCCCAGAUGACCUGUCCCAAUCUAUUAUCUGUUCUCCAGUCCCAUUUAGUUCCCAAAGGGAAUCAUUUACAAACCAUUGUCUGAUCUUCAGGCCCAUUUAUUUACAGCUCCCCCUCUUUCCCCAAUGAAAAUGAUACUUAAGUGUCAGCCAUCUAUCGGCUCUUUGAGUUUUCACAUUUUGUAUGACUCCUGUGCAGACACAUGCAUGUAAUAACUUUGUUAUACUUGUUAACUUUUUUUCAUUAUAGGGGUAUCCACCAUGAUUAUAUAUGAUGGGGAGGAAAGGGAUUACUCCAUUUCUGCCCCUGCAGUCUGUAGGCAUGAUUGAUUGCAUCAUUGGUCGCCGGUGAUUAACUCAAUCUCCAAGCCCUGUCGUGUCCCUGGAGGUUGGAGGGUGGCACUGAAAGCUCCAACCAUCUCAUCAUGCUUUGAUCUUUCCGAUGACCAGACCCCACCCUGAAGCUAUCUACGGGUCCCCAGCAACAUUCAUUUCGUUAUCAUACAAAUGACAUUCUUACAAUUUCAGAGAUUCCAAGGGCUUUAGGAAAUGGAGAUGAAGAGCAAAUAUAUAUUUCACAAUAUCACAAACAUACCCUUGGGAAUUAGACCUCUGAUCUAAUCUAGGCUCCCUCACUUGCGAUUUUUGUGACCUUGAACAAGUUGUUCAUCUUUUCUGGAUAGUUCUCUGUUAAAAAAAUUAAAAUAAAAAAAUGGUGGCUAUCAGGUUGUUAGGAGGACUAGAUAAGAGAACUAUGUGAAGGACCCUGCACAGUGCUAGCAACAAAGUUGUUUAGUAAGUACUAUUUCAAUUUAUUUUGCUUCCAAGCUCAUGUGAGCUCCCUCAGUGUGUACCACCAAAUCAUAUGAUGUGUAUCCCAGUCAAAUCUUAAAGGUCACCCACCUUGAAUCUUUAAGUUAAUUGAUGUGUGUUUUUAAAACUGCAUUAUAAGAAUGUUAGGGUUUUUGUUUUGAUCCUAUGGAAGUUAAACUUUUUUACGCAAGCAUUCAACUGUUUAGCUUCAAACUGAACAGAUAAAUAGUCUGUAUUAUUUCAUUAUGUAUUAAAAAAUGAUUAAGCCUGCCUCAGGCAGUUCAGACAAAGCAGGUAAAAGAUUAUCAAGGAGUAACAUUAGAAAACACUAAUCAGAGUGCCUAAAAAGCUUUAUGCGGUCCAGGUUGUACAGGGAUGUUGGAACAGUAAAACAAACAAAACAUUACAAGGUAUGAAGCGUUCGAGAUAGGUAGAAUAGAGCAGGUUAUAUUAGAGAAGUCUCUUCUAAAAUUGUGUUGGCUAGCCUGGGAUUUGAACUUAUACCGUGUAUGUAUGUCCAUGUGUAACAGGUUGAACAUGCAAGAAGCAGUGUUCAUAAAAGGUGGCAAACUUGUUUUACUUGUUUCUCAGUCUUUUCAGAUCAGUACUUAUAAAACACUGAUAUUUACAGUAAAUAUAUUAAAUAUUAGCUAACCCUAUUAAAUUGUGUGUCCUUGUGCUGCAGUCAUUUAAUGACCUCAUUCUUUGGUAAGUUGGCAUGUGAUUUGAGAUAGCUCUAAGUGCUAAUGGAUUGUUUGAAGGAGUUAAAGGCAAAACCAGGAAGAGAAAACUAUUUUUAGGAAAAAGGGAUCAUACAACAGGCCUUAAAUAGAAGAAAUGAGAUAUCUCUGUCUUUACUAUGUAACCUUUAAUUCCUUACACAUUUUGACUUCAUGUUUUUUGUAUGUAAAUGAGAAUGUUAUAGUCUUGUAAAUUCCUUUUCCUCUGUGACUACAUUCAGUUAUUUAUUUUAUUGUGUGUUUGUGCAUGUCGAUAGAGCACAGUAUUUAGUAGAAUGAGUUAUUGGUUAAACCACCUGGAUUCAUUUGUAAAAUGGGGCCACCUGUCUCUUACAUUGUAAUGAGGAUUUGAUUCGAUAAUCUAGAUAAAUCACUUAGCACAAGAGUCUCCAGCCCCCGGACUCUUGAGUGGUACUGGUCUGUGGCCUGUUAGGCACUGGGCUGCACAGCAGGAGGUGAGCAGGGAGCAAGCUAGCACUAGGGCCCAAGCUCCGCCUCCUUUCGGAUCAGUGGCAGCAUUAGAUACUCAUAGGAGCACAAACCCUGUUGUGAACUGUGCGUGUGAGGGAUCUAGGUUUCGUGCUCCUUACAAGAAUCUAAUUAAUGCCCGAUGAGCUGAGGUGGAACAGUUUCUUCCCAAAACCGUCUCAGGAAACCCGUCCCUGGUGCCAAAAUUUGGGGGACCUCUGACGUAGCACACUAUCUGGCACAUACCAAGCACUCAGAAAAUAUCCAAUUUCUCAAAACUCAGUUCCAGUGUCAAGUCUUAAUAGUAUAUUGAUCUUGGAACUCCAAGGUAGUUGGUCCUCUCUUUGUGCCAUAAAUGUGCCUUGUACUCAGUAGUGCUAAAUUGCUAUCACUAGUGCUAAAUGUACUACUAAUUCAUCUGUGUGUCCACUUCCCUUCUUAGAUUGUGAGCUCCUUGAGGACAGAGAUGGGUUUACUCAUAUUUAUAAAUUCAUUGGCAUGAUAAAUAUUUGCUGAAAGAAUAAAAUUGUAUUCUUAUUUUUUAAGCAGGGUCCCCUCCACCUCUGAGUGGAAGAUGGUCUGGGAGCAAAGGUGUCAGGUCUUCUAAAAAAUCUGGCCACAUUCUCAACCCACCACACCCCCGCUUUUUUAAACAGCUGUUUAAUUGCCAUUGUAAUCCUAAGGAUUGGAUCCAUUUUUCACUUCCCUUUUUCACACUUUUUUCUUUUACUAAGAAAAUAAAGUAAUAAAGUGACUGCCAAAUGGAGAAAACUGUCCACUAAAUAUGAAUUAAUAAGUGCUAUGAUCAGAAAUUGUGUAAAAGCAACAUAAUGGCACUAUAAAAAGGUAUUAUCUUAGAAUCAAAAACCUUGGGUUUAUAUUAUAGCCCUGCUACUUUCCAGUCAUAUGACAGUGAUCAAGCUAUAUUACCUCUUUGGCUUGACAAAAUAGGGGUCAUCUCUAUUUCUGGCUUGUUAUGAUUGAUGUGAAAUAUUCAUACAAACUACCACUGUGCUUGGUAAGUAGAAGACACUCAAAUAUGUCUUGGAGUUACAGUUAAUACUGUAUCGUUUAAAUUUGAGAAAAACCAACUUUAAAAAAUCACAUAGAUACAGUUUUUUACUGCUAGAAAUUUUAUUUAAAUUAGUUGAUACUCUUGGUUAGGUAAUGAAAAACAAUGGUUUUAUCUCCAUUAUGCUGUGAUAGGGAAGAGUAACACAGUUCAAAUGGCAAAGGCAUACCUGACAAUUAAAAUGCAUAGUUAAAGGCUAAUACUUCCUGAACACAAGAAGACAAGUCUCUGCUUGAUAUUACUCUCCACAGUUAAAUCAUUGAUACUUUGUGCCAUACAGUGAAAACAGAACCAUCUAGGUGUUCACGGAUUGUAUUUUUCCUUAUGAAAGGUAGAAGGUUAGAGAAAAUUAUUCUCAAUACAAUUAAUAUAAAUAAAAUUGGUUAUUAGGUGCCUUUUAAUUAGGCAGUAAGGGCAUAUGAAGCUUCAUUACCUAUGAGAAUUUUGUCAAAAUUAUUUCCCAGUUACCGUGUUUUAAAACAACCUCUCAGAAUUCCCCACUUCUAAUUUCUCUUUUCUAUUCUACCAAUUUUACUCCAUACCUUUUUGCUAAAUAAACAUUUUCUUCC